AACGGACGCUGGCGGCAUGCCUAACACAUGCCAGUCGAACGAGACCUUCGGGUCUAGUGGCGCACGGGUGCGUAACGCGUGGGAACCUGCCCUUAGGUUCGGAAUAACUCCCCGAAAGGGGUGCUAAUACCGGAUAAUGUCUUCGGACCAAAGAUUUAUCGCCUUUGGAUGGGCCCGCGUUGGAUUAGCUAGUUGGUAGGGUAAAAGCCUACCAAGGCGACGAUCCAUAGCUGGUCUGAGAGGAUGAUCAGCCACACUGGGACUGAGACACGGCCCAGACUCCUACGGGAGGCAGCAGUGGGGAAUAUUGGACAAUGGGCGAAAGCCUGAUCCAGCAAUGCCGCGUGAGUGAUGAAGGCCUUAGGGUUGUAAAGCUCUUUUACCCGGGAUGAUAAUGACAGUACCGGGAGAAUAAGCGCCGGCUAACUCCGUG
Molecule: ribosomal RNA, 433 nt
Filed under: uncultured bacterium
Lineage: Bacteria
Description: partial 16S ribosomal RNA
Rfam family: Bacterial small subunit ribosomal RNA
Source: RNAcentral